RNAcentral lists this ribosomal RNA (903 nucleotides) under Microascus cirrosus. Its description in RNAcentral is "LSU rRNA". It matches the Rfam family "Eukaryotic large subunit ribosomal RNA", at positions 38 to 966 of the family's 3401-position model. Lineage: Eukaryota; Fungi; Ascomycota; Sordariomycetes; Microascales; Microascaceae. The record is from RNAcentral.
GCAUAUCAAUAAGCGGAGGAAAAGAAACCAACAGGGAUUGCCCCAGUAACGGCGAGUGAAGCGGCAACAGCUCAAAUUUGAAAUCUGGUCCCCCCGCGGGGCCCGAGUUGUAAUUUGAAGAGGAUGCUUCUGGCAAGGUGCCGUCCGAGUUCCCUGGAACGGGACGCCGCAGAGGGUGAGAGCCCCGUACGGUCGGACGCCGAGCCUCUGUGAAGCUCCUUCGACGAGUCGAGUAGUUUGGGAAUGCUGCUCAAAAUGGGAGGUAAACCCCUUCUAAAGCUAAAUACCGGCCAGAGACCGAUAGCGCACAAGUAGAGUGAUCGAAAGAUGAAAAGCACUUUGAAAAGAGAGUUAAAAAGCACGUGAAAUUGUUGAAAGGGAAGCGCUUGCGACCAGACUCGCGCCCGUCGGAUCAGCCGUCGCUCGUCGGCGGCGCACUCCGGCGGGCUCGGGCCAGCAUCAGUUCGCCUCGGGGGGAGAAAGGCGGCGGGAAUGUGGCUCCACGGAGUGUUAUAGCCCACCGCGUAAUACCCCCGGGCGGACUGAGGACCGCGCGUAUGCAAGGAUGCUGGCGUAAUGGUCGUCAGCGACCCGUCUUGAAACACGGACCAAGGAGUCGUCCUAAUAUGCGAGUGUACGGGUGUCAAACCCCUGCGCGUAAUGAAAGUGAACGGAGGUGAGAGCUUCGGCGCAUCAUCGACCGAUCCUGAUGUUCUCGGAUGGAUUUGAGUAAGAGCAUAUUGGGCCGGACCCGAAAGAAGGUGAACUAUGCCUGUGUAGGGUAAAGCCAGAGGAAACUCUGGUGGAGGCUCGCAGCGGUUCUGACGUGCAAAUCGAUCGUCAAACAUGGGCAUGGGGGCGAAAGACUAAUCGAACCCUUCUAGUAGCUGGUUUCCGCCGAAG